UGGCUAUUUCUGAGUACUUGGGGUUGAUAAAACAUCGUACUUCCUUUUCUUGGCAGAUGGAGACAUAAAAAGAUUUCUAAUAGACGCAAGGGGAUCGUCUACCUGCACAAAUGUAAUAACACCAAAGUAACGUAAUCAUCUCAAACGAACCAAGUGCAAGUAUGAGGUAUUUUAUGUUCAACAACCUAGCACUUCACUCAUACACUAGGAAGAAAGGUCAAGAAAUACCUUAAAAAUAGAUGACGAUGGAGAUCUCUCAGAUGUAGGUGGUGAACUCCCUUGCUGACGCUGUAAAGCAGAUAUUGUCUGUUGCCAUCCAGGUGUCCCCUUGCCUGUUGAUGCAAUCCAGGGGCAAAAAUGUCUGUGCUGCCUGAUGGGAUCAAACUCCAUUUUAUUAUCUGAUGACACUUGUUUUAUUAGAUCGCUCCCUGAGAAGGAAGACCAAGAAGGAUCAUUAAAAUCAUUUUUCAGUUUCAUUUGAAAUCUAGCAGGCGAGAGGAUUAAAGAAUAAUAGUUUCAGAUAAAGGGGAAAAAAGGUUUAGGAAAGAAAGAAAUGAUUUUAAAGUUUCUCA
Long non-coding RNA from Humulus lupulus (European hop), 572 nucleotides. RefSeq lists it as uncharacterized. The record is from RefSeq and is a predicted model, not a curated record. Lineage: Eukaryota; Viridiplantae; Streptophyta; Magnoliopsida; Rosales; Cannabaceae. The transcript is spliced from 2 exons.